RNAcentral lists this long non-coding RNA (2150 nucleotides) under Homo sapiens (human). RNAcentral's name for it is "HSALNT0403579". The record is from RNAcentral. Lineage: Eukaryota; Metazoa; Chordata; Mammalia; Primates; Hominidae.
UGAAGAAAAAAAGAUGAAGCUGUUUUCCAGAGACCAGCACUUCAUCCCUGAGAAAAUGUCAAGAUUAUAGGCAUGCUCUAUAGAAGAUAAUGAGUUAAUACCGAAUGGCUAAAUCAGGGGAGUAUUUGAUUGGGGUUCCCAGAAACCAACAAGAUGUGGAUUCAUAUUCAAAUGCUUCCAGGAGAAUCAAGUAAGGAAGUUAAGAAAGAGAAAGAAAGGAAACAAAGGAAAAAAAUGGCAGCAUACUGAAACGGUAAAUGGAAAGGCCAUGUUUUUUGAGUGACACCAUUAGAGUAAAAACUAGCCAGAGGCAUCUGGUGGACAAGCAUCUGAGCCACACAGGAGGGAAGUCCUGUCCAUGAGAUGCAUUCACGUACUAAAGCAGGUGUUUUACCUAACAUCUCUGUGUUGCCAGGUUUUGCAGCCACUGAAGUUAUUGAUCACUUUUCAAAAAUGUCUCACUUUGCAUAUCGACUACCCUCCGUUGCUCCCUGCUAGUUUUUAAAUCUGCACUUUGGGGCACUAGAAGUGACUGAAAUAUCAGUUAAGUCCUAUUUGACAAAUACGUAUUUAGAGUAACCAAUUCAAUAGGGCCAUAAAGAAACUACGGGGUUAGUGCUAGUUAAUAUUGAGACAUCAGUUUUGGGAAUUUUGCUGUUUAUUGGUGGAAGCUACAACGAGAUUUUGUGUAGUUUCUAUUAAAACAAUAAAAUAUUAUCUGAUUCAUAAUUCAGUUCAAAAUACGCUUUAAUGUUUUGCUAGAUGUGUUGGACACUCAGCUUCUAUUUCCAUGGGCUGAAUAAUUGAUGUUUACAUUUCCCAGACAUCCAUACAGUUAGGGUUCUAAAAGUAAGUUACAUCUUCCACUUGGAUUUGGAACAUUUCCUCAUUCCAGGUUCCAGACCGCUAUAUCAACAGACUCGUAGAAUGUUACUGAACACACUGAACACACUGUUUGGUGGUGAACAGAUGGUGGCUAAGAAGUUGCUCAUGGUUCCUGGGAGUCCUAACCAGGGCCUGAUACGGCAAACCUUUCAAUGAUUUGUAAACUCCUAGUGUAUCUUAUCUCCUUAAAACACAUAAACACGUAAAACUGUGUCUCCUUAAAACACAGCAUGGUUUUGUUUUCACCACUGAGCCCAAAGUAAUUAAAACGAACUGCUAUCACAUUCAUUUGUGUGUGUGUGUGUGUGUGUGUGUGUGUGUCUGUGAUUUGCAAAAUGAUAUAAAUAGGUAGAUAACAUUGUUAAAUAGAUAAAGCCUUAGAAGACGAGAGGAUACAAAUUAAUAUUUAUUAUACCUGUGUUCACUACAACAAUCCAGUUUGUGUUUUGCACUGUAAAUCCCAAAAUGUGUUAUAUUAUUUUUGUCAACUAGCGUUGCCAACACAAAGCCAAUAUAAGUUGAUUUUACAAGAGUAUACAUAUAAUAUUUAACAGCUGGGUUUGAAAAUAAUUCAGGUUUUAAAGUUGGAAGUAUCUUCGCUUUUAGUAGGUAAAGAAAUAAAAAUCUGAGAGGAAGGAUUAGGUGAUGUAAUUUCUUCUGUUUGAUACUUAAAUUCCAUAAGAGUCUAUAUUUGAGAAAUAUAAAAAUAUUGCUGAGUAGCACUUUUCUGGGACUUUGAGAAGUGUGGGAGACAGAAUGCACUUUACGAACAUUUUUUAUGCCUUGUAAAAAUAGCACUACAUAUAUAUGUGUUUAACUCUACAUAGCAAUGAACUUACUUUCUCUCUGCUUUUUAUAUUCCUUUAUGGUUUACUACCUUAGGCAUUAAAUCAAGAAUUUAAUAUGUUGAGGGGAAAGGGUUGCAUAUCAAAAGUUUCUUUCUUCAAGCAAAUAUGUGGUGGAUUCCCACAUGUCUACUGAAAUAAAACUAGGGAAUAAUAUGUAUGUGUAUUACAAUAUUCUUUUCAAGACUUUGGCAGGAGAAUUAUUUAAGUAUGUCAUUCUAUCUUGAAAGCCAACUAUGGGUUUAUGAGGGGGAGGGGAAUACAUCUAUACAUUAAUUCUUGCAAGGUUAAGAAGUUUUGGGUUUGAGUCUCGUAGCACUAAUUAAAAUUUUGUGGUUUUCAACAAGUGAUGCAUUACAUUUGAUUUAUUCUGCAUUGAAGAAGAAAGAAUAUCAUCUCUCAUCUCAUCUAAUGUUUAUC